UACCAAACAUUGCCAUUAGUAACAAUCAUUGAUGCUUACUUCAAACCAAGGUACGAAAACCAGCAUUAGAGCACAAAAACUGUCAUAACAUUUUUCAGCCAGUUUUGAUGUUUUUGUUUCAGCAUCAAGUAUUGUUGUUUUUAUUUUCUUUACAGUUUUGGCGUACUAUUUUGAUUAGCGAUGAGCUGAGUUCCCCCACCCCAACCCUAACAAAAAAGAAAGAAAGAAGAAAAAAAAGAAAUGGCGAAAAAAUCAGUUUUGGUUUUCCGAAGAAAAGGAACUAAACAAGACAAAAUAAAAACAACGUAAAACACGAAACUUCCCUUACAACGAUACUAUUCAGAAAUUUUAUGUGGAAAAGAAGCAAAUUAUGAAGUUAACGAUUGUUAAGUAUCUUGUUAAUUUUAUAUUUUCAGAUGAAUGUGCAUUCAGUGUAUAUUAAAAGGGAAAAGAAAAUCAUUCAGAACUCCUUAUCGUCAGACGUAAACUUUAUGUGUACAGUCAGUGCACAGACCUAAAUCAUAUUUGAACGACAAAGAUUUUGGCGUACUAUUUUGAUUAGCGAUGAGCUGAGUUCCCCCACCCCAACCCUAACAAAAAAGAAA
Mercenaria mercenaria is the source of this 605-nucleotide long non-coding RNA. RefSeq lists it as uncharacterized. The transcript is spliced from 2 exons. NCBI's taxonomy places the organism in Eukaryota, Metazoa, Mollusca, Bivalvia, Venerida, Veneridae. The record is from RefSeq and is a predicted model, not a curated record.